UAUCCAUUGAGCCUCGCUAUCAGCUGGUA
Molecule: small RNA, 29 nt
Filed under: Bombyx mori (domestic silkworm)
Lineage: Eukaryota; Metazoa; Arthropoda; Insecta; Lepidoptera; Bombycidae
Description: ovarian small RNA-23582
Source: RNAcentral